CGUAUAUCCUAACCCAGAGAUAGGCCCACGGCUACUACAGUCACGACAGACGGCGGGUAAAUACGUUAGGGUGCAAAGGCGUAGUUUCGGAAUUUAUUUGGGGGUAAAGGCCUCGGCAGGCGAUUUUUCUUAAAGUUUGAUGUUGAAAGGCCCCCCGCUUCACACCGGGGGAGAGGUCACUUGGAAAACUGGGGAAACCUUGAGAUGUCAGAAAGGAGGGAGAAGUGGGAAUUUCCCCGUGUUAGCGGGUGGAAAGUGGUAGAAGAUGUGGAGGAACACCCAGUGGGCGAAAGGCGGACUCUCUUGGUCUGUAACUGACGCUGAGGAGCGAAAGCGUGGGGGAGCGAACAGGAUUAGAUAUCCCUGGUAGUUCCCGCCGUAAACGAUGAGUGCUAAGUGUUAGGGGGGUUUCGCCCCUUAGUGCUGCAGGUAAAGCAUUAAACACUCCGCCUGGGGAGUACGGUUGCAAGACUGAAAAUCAAAAGAAAUGACGGGGGGCCGCACAAACGGUGGAGCAUGUGGUUUAAUUUGAAGCAACGCGAAGAACCUUUCCCGGUUUUGACAUCCUUUGACAAUCCUAGAGAUAGGACGUUCCCUUUGGGGGCAGAGUGACAGGUGGGGCAUGGUUGUUGUCAACUCGUGUUGUGAGAUGUUGGGGUAAAUUCCGCAACGAGCGCAACCCUUUAUUUUUGUUGCCAGCAUUUAGUUGGGCACUUUAAAGUGACUGCCGGUGACAAACCGGAGGAAGGGGGGGAUGACGUCAAAUCAUCCUGCCCCUUAUGACCUGGGGUACACACGUGGUACAAUGGACAGAACAAAGGGCAGGGAAACCGCGAGGGUAAGCCAAUUCCACAAAUUUGUUUUCAGUUUGGAUUGCAGUUUGCAAAUUGACUGCGUGAAGCUGGAAUCGCUAGUAAUUGCGGAUCAGCAUGCCGCGGGGAAUACGUUUCCGGGCCUUGUACACACCCCCCGUCACACCCCGAGAGUUUGUAACACCCGAAGUCGGUGAGGUAACCUUUAGGAGCCAGCCGCGCGCAAAGGGUACAACAGUUU
RNAcentral lists this ribosomal RNA (1053 nucleotides) under Bacillus subtilis. RNAcentral describes it as "bacterial SSU rRNA". It matches the Rfam family "Bacterial small subunit ribosomal RNA". The record is from RNAcentral. Lineage: Bacteria; Bacillati; Bacillota; Bacilli; Caryophanales; Bacillaceae.